UACGGAGGGUGCAAGCGUUAUCCGGAUUCACUGGGUUUAAAGGGUGCGUAGGUGGCUUUGUAAGUCAGUGGUGAAAGCCCGGAGCUCAACUCCGGAACUGCCAUUGAUACUGCUUAGCUUGAAUCACGUCGAGGUGGAUGGAAUAAUACAUGUAGCGGUGAAAUGCUUAGAUAUGUAUUAGAACACCGAUUGCGAAGGCAGUUCACUAGGCGUGUAUUGACACUGAGGCACGAAAGCGUGGGGAUCAAACAGG
This 253-nucleotide ribosomal RNA is filed under the name uncultured bacterium. RNAcentral describes it as "partial 16S ribosomal RNA". It matches the Rfam family "Bacterial small subunit ribosomal RNA", at positions 524 to 776 of the family's 1533-position model. The record is from RNAcentral.